UACGGGGGGUGCAAGCGUUGCUCGGAAUCACUGGGCGUAAAGCGUCCGCAGGCGGACUGGUCGGUCGGUCGUGAAAGCCCGGGGCUCAACCCCGGAACUGCGAUCGAAACCUCCAGUCUGGAGUACGGGAGAGGGGGGUGGAAUUCCUGGUGUAGAGGUGAAAUUCGUAGAUAUCAGGAGGAACACCGGUGGCGAAAGCGGCCCCCUGGCCCGAUACUGACGCUCAUGGACGAAAGCGUGGGGAGCAAACAGG
This 253-nucleotide ribosomal RNA is filed under the name uncultured bacterium. Its description in RNAcentral is "partial 16S ribosomal RNA". It matches the Rfam family "Bacterial small subunit ribosomal RNA", at positions 524 to 776 of the family's 1533-position model. The record is from RNAcentral.